RNAcentral lists this transfer RNA (72 nucleotides) under Sporobacter termitidis DSM 10068. It matches the Rfam family "tRNA". From Rfam's summary of the family: Transfer RNA (tRNA) molecules are approximately 80 nucleotides in length. Their secondary structure includes four short double-helical elements and three loops (D, anti-codon, and T loops). Lineage: Bacteria; Bacillati; Bacillota; Clostridia; Eubacteriales; Oscillospiraceae. The record is from Rfam by way of RNAcentral.
GGCGGCAUAGCCAAGUGUUAAGGCGGGGGCUUGCAGGGCCCUGAUCCCCGUGUUCAAUUCCGGGUGCUGCCU